RNAcentral lists this long non-coding RNA (635 nucleotides) under Ovis aries (sheep). Its description in RNAcentral is "lncRNA (ENSOARG00000025323.1)". Lineage: Eukaryota; Metazoa; Chordata; Mammalia; Artiodactyla; Bovidae. The record is from RNAcentral.
CUUAUUUUACUGAUUUAGUAUUAUAAUUCCAAAUGUAAAAUGAGUUAUUAAAUAUAAGUUAUAAGUAUGUGCAUAAGAAAUUACAAAAUUUAAAUAACUAUAAUUUUGAAGGAAAAAGCGAGAAAGGCAGAAAUGAGCCUUCAUUUGCUCUGGGGAAUUUGCGAACAUGGGUGUUCUGAACUCACUCACAAAUCUUUCUUCUUUGAUGCUCUUUCCUUUUCUACAGACCCUUUGGUGGCAGAAAUGGUUCAUGACUUUCUGAAAAGCAGCUCUCCAGCCAAAUUCUGUCUGCUGGGCCUGAAACUGAACUUUAAAGGGUUGAUUUCUUAAGUUCAUCUCCUACCACACUAAAGUAAAUAUGCAAAACCCAAUGUACUGUUCAUUCUCAUUGUCAAGGCUCAAAAUGCAGGUAAGUGGGAGGCAUAUUUUCUGUAGAGACUUUAAAAACAAUAAUAAAAUCAAGUUAAAUCACUUUUCUUUUCUUUAUCAUUAUGUGGCAGGAACUGUAAUAAUGCUUGCUUAGGGUACAGAUUAUGUCUCUAAUCCUGGUAGGACUACAUAUUUAUGCACUAAAUAGUCAUUAUAAGAAUUAACAAACAGAUCAUUAAUUAUGUCAAUUCUGCUUUUCUAUGUGG